UACGGAGGGUGCAAGCGUUAUUCGGAAUUAUUGGGCGUAAAGAGCACGUAGGCGGCUAGUUAAGUCAGAUGUGAAAGCCCGGGGCUUAACCCCGGAAGUGCAUUUGAAACUAACUGGCUUGAGUAUGGGAGAGGGAAGUGGAAUUCCUGGUGUAGAGGUGAAAUUCGUAGAUAUCAGGAGGAACACCGGUGGCGAAGGCGACUUCCUGGACCAAUACUGACGCUGAGGUGCGAAAGCGUGGGGAGCAAACAGG
RNAcentral lists this ribosomal RNA (253 nucleotides) under uncultured bacterium. RNAcentral's name for it is "partial 16S ribosomal RNA". It matches the Rfam family "Bacterial small subunit ribosomal RNA", at positions 524 to 776 of the family's 1533-position model. The record is from RNAcentral.